RNAcentral lists this ribosomal RNA (686 nucleotides) under uncultured Lachnospiraceae bacterium. RNAcentral's name for it is "bacterial SSU rRNA". It matches the Rfam family "Bacterial small subunit ribosomal RNA", at positions 67 to 754 of the family's 1533-position model. The record is from RNAcentral. Lineage: Bacteria; Bacillati; Bacillota; Clostridia; Lachnospirales; Lachnospiraceae.
CGGGAAUUACUUUAUUGAAACUUCGGUCGAUGUAAUUUAAUUCUAGUGGCGGACGGGUGAGUAACGCGUGGGUAACCUGCCUUAUACAGGGGGAUAACAGUCAGAAAUGGCUGCUAAUACCGCAUAAGCGCACAGAGUUGCAUGGCUCAGUGUGAAAAACUCCGGUGGUAUAAGAUGGACCCGCGUUGGAUUAGCUUGUUGGUGGGGUAACGGCCCACCAAGGCGACGAUCCAUAGCCGGCCUGAGAGGGUGAACGGCCACAUUGGGACUGAGACACGGCCCAGACUCCUACGGGAGGCAGCAGUGGGGAAUAUUGCACAAUGGGGGAAACCCUGAUGCAGCGACGCCGCGUGAAGGAAGAAGUAUCUCGGUAUGUAAACUUCUAUCAGCAGGGAAGAUAGUGACGGUACCUGACUAAGAAGCCCCGGCUAACUACGUGCCAGCAGCCGCGGUAAUACGUAGGGGGCAAGCGUUAUCCGGAUUUACUGGGUGUAAAGGGAGCGUAGACGGUGUGGCAAGUCUGAUGUGAAAGGCAUGGGCUCAACCUGUGGACUGCAUUGGAAACUGUCAUACUUGAGUGCCGGAGGGGUAAGCGGAAUUCCUAGUGUAGCGGUGAAAUGCGUAGAUAUUAGGAGGAACACCAGUGGCGAAGGCGGCUUACUGGACGGUAACUGACGUUGAGGCUC